UAGCUGAAUGAUUUUAAAUGGGCCUAAAU
RNAcentral lists this non-coding RNA (29 nucleotides) under Homo sapiens (human). The record is from RNAcentral. Lineage: Eukaryota; Metazoa; Chordata; Mammalia; Primates; Hominidae.